This 253-nucleotide ribosomal RNA is filed under the name uncultured bacterium. RNAcentral describes it as "partial 16S ribosomal RNA". It matches the Rfam family "Bacterial small subunit ribosomal RNA", at positions 524 to 776 of the family's 1533-position model. The record is from RNAcentral.
UACGGGGGGGGCAAGCGUUGUUCGGAAUUACUGGGCGUAAAGGGCUCGUAGGCGGCCAACUAAGUCAGACGUGAAAUCCCUCGGCUUAACCGGGGAACUGCGUCUGAUACUGGUUGGCUUGAAUCCGGGAGAGGGAUGUGGAAUUCCAGGUGUAACGGUGAAAUGCGUAGAUAUCUGGAGGAACACCGGUGGCGAAGGCGGCAUCCUGGACCGGUAUUGACGCUGAGGAGCGAAAGCCAGGGGAGCAAACGGG